AGCCCGUGACUGAAGCCCCGGUAAACGGUGGCCGUAACAAUAGCGGUCCUAAGGUAGCGAAAUUCCUUGUCGGGUAAGUUCCGACCUGCACGAAUGGCGUAAUGAUGGCCACGCUGUCUCCACCCAAGACUCAGUGAAAUUGAAAUCGCUGUUAAGAUGCAGUGUACCCGCGGCUAGACGGAAAGACCCCGUGAACCUUUACUAUAGCUUCACAGUGAACUUUGAGCAUGUUUGUGUAGGAUAGCUGGGAGGCUUUGAAGUGGGAACGCCAGUUCUCAUGGAGCCAACCUUGAAAU
Molecule: ribosomal RNA, 296 nt
Filed under: Alexandrium margalefii
Lineage: Eukaryota; Dinophyceae; Gonyaulacales; Pyrocystaceae
Description: partial Bacterial large subunit ribosomal RNA
Rfam family: Bacterial large subunit ribosomal RNA
Source: RNAcentral